AGAGUUUGAUCAUGGCUCAGAACGUACGCUGGCGGCACGCCUAACACAUGCAAGUCGAGCGGGGUAGCAAUACCUAGCGGCAGACGGGUGCGUAACAUGUGGGAAUCUGCCUUUUGGUUCGGAACAACAUGGGGAAACCUGUGCUAAUACCGGAUAAGUCCUAACGGAGAAAGUUUUAAUGCCAAAAGAUGAGCCCGCAUUUGAUUAGCUUGUUGGUGAGGUAAAAGCUCACCAAGGCUAUAAUCAAUAGCUGAUUUGAGAGGAUGAUCAGCCACACUGGGACUGAGAUACGGCCCAGACUCCUACGGGAGGCAGCAGUGGGGAAUCUUGCACAAUGGGCGAAAGCCUGAUGCAGCGAUGCCGCGUGAGUGAAGAAGGCCUUUGGGUUGUAAAGCUCUUUUGUCGGGAAAGAUAAUGACUGUACCCGAAGAAUAAGGUCCGGCUAACUUCGUGCCAGCAGCCGCGGUAAUACGAAGGGACCUAGCGUAGUUCGGAAUUACUGGGCGUAAAGAGUAUGUAGGCGGCUAGAUAAGUUAAUUGUGAAAGCCCAAAGCUUAACUUUGGAACUGCAAUUAAAACUAUUUAGCUGGAGUAUGAUAGAGGAAAGCGGAAUACAUAGUGUAGAGGUGAAAUUCGUAGAUAUUAUGUAGAACACCAGUUGCGAAGGCGGCUUUCUGGAUCAUUACUGACGCUGAGAUACGAAAGUAUGGGUAGCGAAGAGGAUUAGAUACCCUCGUAGUCCAUACCAUAAACGAUGAUUAUUAAAUGUGGGGAAUUAUUUCUCUGUAUUAUAGCUAACGCGUUAAAUAAUCCGCCUGGGGAGUACGACCGCAAGGUUAAAAC
Molecule: ribosomal RNA, 843 nt
Filed under: marine metagenome
Description: bacterial SSU rRNA
Rfam family: Bacterial small subunit ribosomal RNA
Source: RNAcentral